GGGUAGAACAAUGGGGGACUCAGCUGCAUGACAAGCUAUGACUGGGUUCUAAGUAUGCCAAGCUACUACACAAAUUUAAUGAUAGAACUUGAAACAUUUGAGACAUUUGCCUCAUGGGACUGAGGAGGAAGUUAGGCAGGAAAGUACCAGGCAUUCUCUCCAGGGAUCUUGCAAUCCCUGGCAAAUCUUUUCUUCUUGAAGGAGCACAUGGAUAUGCUUUGGUGUUUGGCUGCAUAAUUCAAGCUUCUCAAGUUCACAGUUUACUCCACAGAUGACUGAUCAUAGUUUUAAAAGAAUAUCCUAGAAGUUGG
Molecule: long non-coding RNA, 311 nt
Filed under: Crocodylus porosus (Australian saltwater crocodile)
Lineage: Eukaryota; Metazoa; Chordata; Crocodylia; Crocodylidae
Description: lncRNA (ENSCPRG00005006019.1)
Source: RNAcentral